GGUUGAUCCUGCCAGUAGUCAUAUGCUUGUUUCAAAGAUUAAGCCAUGCAAGUCUAAGUAUAAGCUUUUAUACGGCGAAACUGCGAAUAGCUCAUUACAACAGUUAUAAAUGCCACGAUACUGAGUUCAGAUGGAUAUCCAUGGUAAUUCUGGAGUUAAUACAUGCACUACCCUUCGGGGUCGUUGUUAUAUCAACCCAGUUGCCGAGCUUAUGCUCUUGCAGGAUGAACAGUAUGACUAGCGGAUCACAAUGUGACAGAUCGUUCGAGUUCCUGACCUAUCAGCUUUUGUU
Molecule: ribosomal RNA, 292 nt
Filed under: uncultured eukaryote
Lineage: Eukaryota
Description: partial 18S ribosomal RNA
Rfam family: Eukaryotic small subunit ribosomal RNA
Source: RNAcentral